GUCCAUUGAUUACUGUAACACCAUUCAUAAUGAUAUCACAAUAAUCCUUCUUUAUACAAAUUUCAUAACCGUUUAAGGCCAAAUGACCAACGAAAAUGACAUUCAUUAAGAAACUAGGACAAUAGUGACAUUCACCAAGGGCAAUUAUGUGAGAAUUUGAAAUAAUUUGAAUAUUACCUAAUGCUAGAACUGGAACAGUUCUUCCAUCUCCAAUAUUUAGGAAUUUCUCAUUGUUACCGAAAUUCUCAAUGACUUGCAGUCCUUUCAACGUAUUACA
RNAcentral lists this long non-coding RNA (277 nucleotides) under Phoenix dactylifera (date palm). Its description in RNAcentral is "long non-coding RNA (PDAC_LNC014270)". Lineage: Eukaryota; Viridiplantae; Streptophyta; Magnoliopsida; Arecales; Arecaceae. The record is from RNAcentral.